This 438-nucleotide ribosomal RNA is filed under the name uncultured bacterium. Its description in RNAcentral is "bacterial SSU rRNA". It matches the Rfam family "Bacterial small subunit ribosomal RNA", at positions 958 to 1398 of the family's 1533-position model. The record is from RNAcentral.
AACGCGAAGAACCUUACCCAGGCUCGAAAUGUAAUGGACAAUACCAGAGAUGGUAUGUUCCGCAAGGACUGUUAUAUAGGUGCUGCAUGGCUGUCGUCAGCUCGUGCCGUGAGGUGUUGGGUUAAGUCCCGCAACGAGCGCAACCCUUAUCAUUAGUUGCCAACACGCAAGGUGGGGACUCUAAUGAGACUGCCUGGGUUAACCAGGAGGAAGGUGAGGAUGAUGUCAAGUCCGCAUGGCCUUUAUGUCUGGGGCUACACACGUGCUACAAUGGUCGGUACAGAAGGCAGCAAGACCGCAAGGUGGAGCAAAUCCGAAAAGCCGAUCACAGUUCAGAUUGUAGUCUGCAACUCGACUACAUGAAGUUGGAAUUGCUAGUAAUGACGUGUCAGCAACAACGUCGUGAAUACGUUCCCGGGCCUUGUACACACCGCUGUA